CUCCUGGUGAAGGGGCCCCCACCUCACCUACCCCCCCCACAGAGGGAGCCCCUCCUGGUGAAGGGGGCUCCCCUUUCUGAUGUGAUGGCUUCUUGGUGGCAGUGUUGCUGGUCCUGGGCUGGAAGGGAGGAGCUGAGUUCUGUGCUCUGCAGGAGGAGAAAGUUCAGUUUAUUACAAAGCUCAAGUAGAACUUUUUUUGCUAUGACUCUGUAUCUGUAGCUUAAGAGGGUGCUUGAUGUGUGUAGUGGUUUACUGUGCCUGAAGGUUACAGUAAAAAGGGUUUGGGUAAGUGGCUGGAGGUGAAAUGUGCCUGUGGAGUUGCAUAUAAGGCUGUGUUCCUAACUAACAACCUAAAUAGGAUGAGAUGGUUAAGAAGGAGGGAAGUUGCCUUUCUCUGACUUUCUUGCCUAUUCCUCUUAGGAGAAAAAAUGGUCUAAGAAAAUGGAAAUGCUUAUAAAACUUCUCUGGAGAGGUCUGUACAAGGCCAACUUGGUUUUCUGCAUCUAUAGUUUAAAAUGUUAUCUGGACAGAGACUUUUCCCUCAGUAUUUAACACUGCUUCUCACAAAGUGAGCUCAAUCAAAUUGGACAGACAACUUAACUUAGAAGUUUCUAAAUUCAAACAAUGAACAACUAGGUCUCCC
This 643-nucleotide long non-coding RNA is filed under the name Gallus gallus (chicken). Lineage: Eukaryota; Metazoa; Chordata; Aves; Galliformes; Phasianidae. The record is from RNAcentral.